AGAUAAAGAGGAAGGGGUGGAGCUAGAACUGGACACCUCGGGGGUUUCCUGCUUUAUGGCGAAGGACGGAGUUUUGCUCUUGUUGCCCAAGCUGGAGUGCAAUGGUGCGAUCUUCGCUUACUGCAACCUCUGCUUCCUGGGUUCAAGUGAUUCCCCUGCCUCAGCCUCCCGAGUAGCAGGGAUUACAGACACAUAUACUCACAGAAAUGAGUUAUUUAAAGAAGACGGUCCAGAUUCCACAGUCCAAAAAAAAAAGAGGUUUGCCCUGCUUCUGAAGGAGUCAGGGUAUGAAUGCAGAGGUCUUCCUGUUGGCUCACAUAUCAGAUCUUCAACGUCAACAUUAAAUGCUGAAAGAACAUCAGUGUAUCAGCACAGCAAAUAUUCCAAAUGCCAGGCUGGAUUCCCUCCAAUUACCAGGACCUCCAGGCUUCUCCUCCUUUCAAGAACUUUCUGACCCUGGAUCCAGUCUAAAUGUUGGUUAUAAACUCACCUGACAUCCACAGGGCCCUUCCAAAAUACUGUCAAGGCUGACUGCUGGUGCCUGGAACCUGCACACCCUCCUGGGACUCUGCAUCUCUGCUGGGGCUGGUUUCUCCUCUGAGCCACCUUAAGGAAUCCCACCCUGACCCGGUCAGAGCUCACCAUGCCUCCCUCUCCUACUUGCUCAGCAUUUUGUGUCUAUCUAGACUGAAGCCUUUGCUUUCUCUCUGUGAUUAUGGUGAAAGUUCAGUUUGCUUUCCUAUCUCUAGAAUGUCAGCACGAAGGCAGAGGCAUGGUCUCCUGAGUUCCAUAACCCCAAAGCCUAACUCCCUGCCUGCCACACUGAGGGGCUUAGUAGACAUUGACUUACUAAAUUGAAUAGUUGAGUAAUAAUGCUCUUUGAAAUAAUUUGGAGUUAGAUCUUGAGCCUUGUGUGGCCAGAGGAUGGGUGAGGACACAUCAUAAAAACUAAAGGUAACUGAGCAUGCCAGUGGUUGGGGUGAGAAAUUUGCAUGGAGCACUCCAGACACAGAGGCAGCAAAACCCAAGUGCUGGGAAGUCAGAGUGAGAGAGUGAAGGGGCAGUGAGUGCUUCUUUAGGAGCUGGAUCAAAACCUAAGAUGAUCUGGCCACAUGGUGCAGACUGAGCACACACUUGGGAGAGAAAUGGGCCAGGAGGAGAGGAGAGAGGUUCACCACAGGACAGUGGAUGACUGGGAAUAGAAGCCCUCCCCAUGGUGGACCAAGAAGUCUGUGAAGCUGAGAGAAAGACAAAAGAAAUCACGACUUCUGUAGGUAGCUGGGAUGGAAACCUCAGGGGUGACAGGGUCUUUAAAGGAAAUCUCAAGGAAGGCAUCAUGUUCUGGGUGUGCUCCAGGGAUGCUGAGUAAGAAAAGACCAGCCUUUCUGUGUGUGUCUUUACUCUGCCACAAGGCACCUGGGCUCCUAAAUGACCAAUACACAUGUGCUAUACUGGUGCCAAGAAAGAAGGGUGUUUUGUAGGAAAGUCAAGGUGAGAGGAGGUGCCCAGGACUUGGCUCCUUUCUUUGAAGGGUGACGGUGUAAAUUCUCCAUGCUGGGGAUCCUACUGAUGGAUGGAGGCAUGUCGAUCUCAUCAUUUCACAGAGUGGGGAGCUAUGGCCACAACGUGCCUAUCACACAAGUCCAGCCUCACGUCAGCUGGACACCAGCUGUUCUGACACUUGUCAGCACAUGGGGCACCCGGAAGUUCAUGGUGUUCUGCAAAGAACGCCACAAAACAGUGAGCUCAACUUCUUGAAAGUCAUAAUGUGUUGCUAAGUCCGAUCCCAGAUCCUAAAAAUAAUAUGAGGUAGUGGCCAUUGAACAGAAAAAAUUUACAUCUUAAACUUGAAGAUAAGUACAAGUGUACCUUUUUCUACCACUGUUGUUCAGUUUUAUUAUAUUGACAAGCACCUCUGCCCACCCUGUGGGGUAAAACUGUUUGAAAGUGUUUAUGAAAGUUUUAUAUAAAUAUUGGUUGAUCAAAUGUACAAAAUAUGCAUGAUGGCACCAUAUUGUGUAUAAUAGUGACAAAUACAGUCUAUGUGGGUGGAGAAACAAGCUCGGUGUUGUGCAUGCGGCUGUGGUUUGUGUUCACACUUCUCCUUUAGAGUGUAGUAGACAGAACAUGCCUGAACUGCCUGGGGCUGAGGGGUCUCAGGCGCAGAGUGGCCCAGGAAUUCUGAGCAAGGACAGAAUGUUAGAGAGAAUAUCCUGAGCUGAGCAGAGAGGCCUGCCCAUGCUAGCUGGCAGCCACCUGCCUUCAGUGCUUCAUUCUUGGGGGACCUUGAGGCCAGUUCUUGAGUGGAUGAGUCCUGCCGCUACUGCUGCUGCCCACUUGGUAGCUCUGUCCUCAUCUGGGAAGAGCCACUGUGAACCCCAGAGACCUAGUGGUGCUAGGGGCUGAUGCAGGCAAAUGACUGGCUGCCCCUGGAUCUUAUGUGAAAACAAGAAUGCUGGACCAAAAGGUCUCUACAGGGCUCCAUGACUACCCAUGACCCGUAACUUCAGUGAGGAGCUAGUGGCCAGGAGGGGCUCAUGGUUGGACACUGGUAUUCCUCUACUCAGACCUUAAACCACAGGUUGCAAGAACAGGGAGGUCACAUGUCAGUGACCUCAUGCCUAAAUAGAUGCAUAGCACAGAGCAGAUUCCUGGAUAGCUUACACCCUACUUUCCCCAGUGCAUCGAUUAUGACUUCCUUUCUAGCAACUGUGAGUACAGCCGGGACUCAUCAAUCACACCUGUAACUUCCCAGCUGCAUUUCUCAGGGUCUCUGAAAGCAGGGCCUUCUCUGGUCUUUUUAAAUUACCCACAGACCUAGGACAGUCUUCUGCACAUACUUCUACAUUUUAAAGGCUUACUUUUAGUAUGUUUAUGUGUGUGAGAUGGGGAAUAUUGUAUUCAUGUGUGCAUGUAUAUGUCUGUGAGUACUGUGGUCUGUGUGUGUAACUGGGUAUGACUGUGUGUGUCAUAUGGAUACAGGGGACUAGAAUGAGGACAGCCAGGUGUCCAGGCUAUAAGAUCUAAGGAGGCACUUGCUCUCAGGGCCAACCCUGCCCUUGCGUGAGCCUGAGAGAGAGAGCCUCCUGGAAUUUUGCACCUUGAGUGCCUUCCUGCUUCACCCUAAUCCCCCCGGUUGUCUGUAUGUUUGGAUGUGAGUGUUGUACAUAUGCUGUGUAUGUGUGUGCAUGCAUGUGAGUGUGCAUGGGUGUGUGUCUGUAUGUCUCAGCAGCUGUCACUGGGCUUCCCAGUCCCUGUCAGCAGGCGAAGGAGGCCCCUUCAUUUCCUUGGGUCCUGCUUAUGCAGCACAGGCCACAGCAAAGGCUCCCUGGGUUGGGUCAGCCCUCACUCUAACUCAACAUGCCCUGGAAGUCACCACAGGGUCAUGGAAAGAGUCCUGGUGAUGAGAUGGAGUGUCUGCUCUGCCACAAGGGCUGUGGGACCAGGGUCGGGGCAUACCUCUCUGGGUCUCAGUUUCCUCACUGGUAAGAUGUGGCAACAGAAUCUCAUCUGUGAGCCCCCUCUAGCCUUGAACAACUCUGGAUCCAGGUAGACCAGCAUAAUGAAAGCCUAUGAAGCUUCUGAGAUGUGCGAGGCAUACAUUGUCCCAGGUACUCAAGUAACUCAAGUCUGGAAGCUGCGAGCCACAGAGAUCAAGCCUUCUCCAAAAAUUGGACUGCAAGGCAUGCCGUACAAACAGAGUGCUAGGAGACCUUGGGGAGGUGGGGAAGAGGAAGAGGAAUCAUGGACAGCUUCAUGGGGAGGUGGCUUUGGAGCUGGGAUGGGUGAGGACAGCUGGAAUGUGGGCAGCACGUGACCAAGUGCUUUGCAGACAUGGCAUGGCCCCCAGCCAGGCCCUGAGGAAAGGAGAGUCUCAGGACAGCAGCUAUGUCACUGUAAGCAGGACCCUUGAAAGCAGGUGCCACCUGCAAAAGGGGGAGCCCUGAGGCCCAGGCAGGCCUGUCACAGUGUGGGGCACCUGUCUAGACAGCCCCAUGGCCAGCAGUGGGGGUGGGCCAUGGGCCAUGGGGACCUUCCUGGUAUGGGGUACUGCCAUGUCCCCAGGGAAUAUGGGGGGCCCAGGAAGGUCCCCAAGGCUCGAAGGACCCAGGUCUUUUCAUACUGCCAAAGAGAUGUAAGGCCUACAGAGGGGAAAGUUUGCAUAUCUGUGAAGGCAUGGAGCCUAGGCAUUGGAAGUGUCCAGUAAGCAUUUUCAUUUGGCAGAAGUAUCUCCAUGGCACUUCUACCUACAGCCCUGCCACAUUUUGCCACAAACUGUCCAGCAGCCCUGAGAUGGAGCCCCAGUGUAGACCGUCAUGGAGCACACUGGCUCUGGAACAAUGAGGAGCAGACUGGAGAAAGCCAGAUGGGGUUUACCUGUCAACAGCCACAACAUAGUUGUGCUGGGGUGACUGUUCAAGAAAAAUGAACUUUGGUGCUCCUGCCGAAUGGGUUGUUAGUGUUCAGUCCUUUUCCUACCACUGAGUUGUUUUGUCUGAUCAUUCUUCCUCCUGGUUCUGCGGGUCUGCCUUCUUGAAAGGGAAGAGCAAGACUCCAGCUCCCUGCCCUGUAGAGGUGCCUUCUACCUUGCUCAGUGUUGAAGCAAAGGAGCAAAGCAAAGCUUAAGUCAGAGAUUUGGUGCUCAGCUAAUCACAGAGACUUUUAAAUGUCAACCAGGGUUUGCUAUCAGGCCAAAGCUGGAUUAUUAUUACCCAAAGUAGAAAAUUGUGAGACAGAGGCAGGUGGGGAGGGAGGGAGAGAGAAGAAAGCAGAAGGUGGAGGAUACGUGGAUUUAAUUUUUUAAAAAUAAAUAUAUGAUUCCGUGUCAAUUAAAAACAAGUACCCCAGGCAAGUCUUCCUGCAGUCCUGUCUUAGCCGCACACACAGCAUAACUGCAAACCCACUUGAGCUCAUUUUUGCUCAAAGACCAACUCUAUUAAACCCUUAGAAUGUUCUGGAUUUCAACACACAGUCCACAGACAGCCAUUCUAUCAAAAGCUUAGUGUUUUCCCUAUGACUGGGUUUUCUGGUAAGGUGAACUAAGGCAUCCUUUUCCAUUUCAGGCUGUGGUAACAGCAGAUAACAGCCGCAGAGGUCAUAGCCAGCACUUUCUAUGCGUCCCUUCAUUUAAUCCCAGUACUCCUAGGUGGUAGAUCUAUUAUUUUGUCCACAUGAAUUAUUGAAAAGUCUGUCCUAAAUUUUAAAUGGAACGAAGUACUGGGUUGCAAGUUACUGGUGGCUGUUUCACAGGAAAUACUACGACAAUGGGACUUUGGGAAUGUGUUCUGGAGACUCCACUCCUUGGUGACUACUACAUGGAGCACAGAAAAUUGUCUUGAGUGGCAGCUAUGUGCCAGGUGAGGAGACAGGUUUUACUCACAUGACUCCCCAGAAGCCCUGCAGCAUCCCCAUAUUUUAUAAAGGGGAAGUACAAGCCCAGAGAGACAUCUGACUUGACUAAGUUCACACAAAAACAGCAAGGUCUGGGCCAAGAUGGAAGCCCGGGCUUUGCCUUCUUCUUCUGCCUGCAGGGCAGGGGCUUUCAUCCUGGCUUCACGCUGAUUUCAAAAGCCUCUCAUUCUCUUGACACCUCAUGGCCCCUGAGUUUAUCCCAAGAAUAAUAAGUUCUACUGUCCUCCUGGAGAUGCCGAAGAAUCAAAACUGCAACACACAGAGGGCCUGGGUGUGCGCGAACACUGUAGUACACACCGAUGACAGCAGAUUAAGCCAUUUCUCUCUUAGGUGCGUCACCCAACCAGCUCCUGGACCCUUCUGCUGUGCUGCCCUGACAGUCACAAUAUGUCCUAGUGGACUAAUUAGCACUAACUACCCAUGUCACCCCAAGGCCAUUUAAGAAGACAAAUAAAAAAGACAAAACCAAUGAGUAUUGUGGCUGAAGAUGACGAAAAAAAGUUAAAAGCAGGGAGGAAUGAAUUAUUUUUUCUUUCUCAAUCUCUCCCUCUGCUUAAACCAAAGAGAGGUUUUCAUCUGAGAGCCCGGGAGCUAAGCAGCUACUUUCUACAUGAAAAAGUGAAAACAUUAAAAUAAAAUCCCUUUCUUUCAAGCUAACGUUCUAAAACUGAACCUCUGCAGAGGCUCCAAAAGAGAAAUGCCUUGCUUUUAAGCCCCUGAGUGAGAGGGAUCCUGAGGAAGUGGCAGAGGGGAUGAACCUAAGCUUUGGGACAUAACAACCGGCACCUCCAGUGGCCACCACUCCUAGCUAUGCUGCCUGUGGAUGGGGCCCCCAGUGCUGGCCCCUAACAGCAUGGGGAAGCCUCCCCAGCCACUCUGAAGCUGUUCGCAUCACAUCCAAGAUGAACCUAGGCAGGGAGGCUGAGUGUGCUUGGGAGAUGCCAAGUUAGGGAAGUAAGUUCCCCAGGGUCCUUCAACUUGUGGUGCCUGAGGAUAGCUGCUUUUUUUCCAGUGCAGAUGGAGACACGGCAGCCUUGGGGGGAUGUGUGAAAGUAAGGCCUCCCUCCCUCUGCCUUUCCAAGUGGCUGAUCAUCUCCUUCCUUCUCAUAGCUACUUCUAGGAGAGGCAUCCAGGCAGGAACCACUUCUCCAUUUCACAGAUGGGAAGACUGAGAACCAUACUGGAAAGGGGUGUAUUUUAAUUAAACUGGAGAGUGGGGAACACUGAUGAGGAAAGCAAGCUGAUAGACGGAAGGCUCUGCCUGUCACUGCCAGCACGGGCACUUGGGCCUUCUUAUCAAGGGUUCUGAUGGGAGUUUCCACUAGGAUUCCAGGUGUCGAUCAUCUAGUAGCCGAGUUCUGAUGAGCUGGACUUUGGGUGGUUGAGGUAGGGAGCAGUGGAAAGGGGAAUUGGAGUCUUAUCAACCUCUUUGAACACCAGUUCCUUCCCCUCUCUUCUAUAAAAAUGUCGUAGCAAUACCUGCCUGGCAGAGUUGUGAGAAUUAAAUGAGAUGAUGAAUACAUCUGCUCUCAGCACCACACCACACCUGUGGCAGUCCUCAGAGAGAAGAAUCACAGCUUUCAUUCAUUGAGAGCUCACUAAGUGCCAGGUAUGCUCAGCUCUUGUGCAGACGUUCUUUUUCUUUGGAUGUAAAUGUGACAUGGGCAGAGCAGGAGGAGCUGUGAGGCUGGCUUGGCUGAGCCACAGGGAUUGCUGGCAUCUUAUAUGGCAUUCAGGACUAUGGAGGGUCCACGGGAAGAAACACAGAAACAGAACCCAAGUAUCCUUCGGGGACUCUUGGACUUUCUUCCCCUUGAUCUUAGACAUGCCUCAGUAAACAGAUGCUGGUUUCUAUCGAGACUCAUUCCUGGGGAAGGACCCCCACCAGCCAAGCAAGGUAAAGCCCAGACUCAGUUACAUGAAUUACAGGUUUAAGACAGAAGCCUUCCUAUGAAUAUUUUUCUGGCCAGUGGCUUAUAUAAGAGAAAUUUGCUCAUUGUAUUUCUAUCUGGCCAACGAAGGGGUCUAGAGGGGCUUUCAGCAACCCAAACAGUCUUGUCAGCCCUAACUCUGGACCUAAGGAAAUAAUUAUGAAUCCUCAAGAUCCAUUUAAAAGUGUCAUUACUGUAGAUAAACAAAGACGAGUGGAUGCUUCUUCCUACUCCACCUCACUGCAGAGAUUCCAUCCAUCCCAGGGUCACUGACCACUGACUGGAUGAACUAGGAUUGGUGUGGCAGAGUGGAGUUUUCAGGAGCCAAGAGACUCCUGGAUUGUCAUGCUCUGUACUCCUUCCCCACGAAAGGAAUGUCUAGAACUCCUGCUGAAAGUAGUCAUUGCCUGCAUUUCCUAGGCAGAAUGUGUUAGCUCCCUCCCCAGAAGAACCUGGGCGAAGAAGGUGUUCCAAUCUGCAUUUGGAAAGAAUCCCUCCCGCAAAGAACUCUACACCCUCUAAGAGAAGAUAACGUGAGGGCAUAUUCUCCUCUCUUAGAGGGUGUUUUCAAUACUAAAUUCUAUCUCUGAAGAGAAUGAGGACCCGAAGGGGGGCAGUGCACCA
Molecule: long non-coding RNA, 7967 nt
Filed under: Homo sapiens (human)
Lineage: Eukaryota; Metazoa; Chordata; Mammalia; Primates; Hominidae
Description: PAX8 antisense RNA 1
Source: RNAcentral